AAUAGAUAUCCCGGUAGUCCACGCCGUAAACGAUGAGUGCUAAGUGUUAGGGGGUUUCCGCCCCUUAGUGCUGCAGCUAACGCAUUAAGCACUCCGCCUGGGGAGUACGGUCGCAAGACUGAAACUCAAAGGAAUUGACGGGGGCCCGCACAAGCGGUGGAGCAUGUGGUUUAAUUCGAAGCAACGCGAAGAACCUUACCAGGUCUUGACAUCCCGCUGACCGCUAUGGAGACAUAGCCUUCCCUUCGGGGACAGCGGUGACAGGUGGUGCAUGGUUGUCGUCAGCUCGUGUCGUGAGAUGUUGGGUUAAGUCCCGCAACGAGCGCAACCCUUGAGAUUAGUUGCCAUCAUUCAGUUGGGCACUCUAAUCUGACUGCCGGUGAUAAACCGGAGGAAGGUGGGGAUGACGUCAAAUCAUCAUGCCCCUUAUGACCUGGGCUACACACGUGCUACAAUGGACGGUACAAACGGUUGCCAACCCGCGAGGGGGAGCCAAUCCGAUAAAACCGUUCUCAGUUCGGAUUGUAGGCUGC
RNAcentral lists this ribosomal RNA (533 nucleotides) under uncultured bacterium. Its description in RNAcentral is "bacterial SSU rRNA". It matches the Rfam family "Bacterial small subunit ribosomal RNA", at positions 777 to 1308 of the family's 1533-position model. The record is from RNAcentral.